UUUUUUUUUCCUUUAAAUGCGACGAAACCCUAUAAUUGAAUCAACGAUGCUUUUUCCCCUUCGUUAUCUUUGAAAAAUCGAAAUGAAAAUCUUCUUCACUUGACUGAUAAGUCAUUUUCUCAUCAAGAUUAAAUGGUAUACACUAAAAUGCGCAAAUUGUGUAUGAAGAACAGGAUGAUCAUGAUGAUUCCAGCUCAAGCAGUGUUCGUCACAAUAAACGUGGGUACACCAGACAAGUAAAUUUCAUUUCUACUUUUUUUUUCUUUUUUUUCUUUUUUUUUUUUUUAUAUUCUUAUCUGUUAAAAAAUCUUUGAAUUAGAGUGAAAUAAAAGUAAAGUGUGUUAUUUAAAAAAAAAAUAAAAAUAGUAGGAAUAGAGAAAUGAGGAAUGGAGAUAUGGUGAAUCCAGGCUUACGAUGAGGCCCCCAAAGGUUAAUUGAUUUAUUUCUUUCUCAAUUCUUUCAGUUUUAGCAGUCAAGACAAUGUUAGUUCCCGUCAUAUUUUAGAUUUUGGAAAUAAUCUGAAGAAAGAACAAAAAUAAACCCCUGUUGAAUUUUUGAGAUUUCCCAAAAUAAAUUUUUAAAAAGGUUCUGACACAGAAGAAAACAAACUCUGAUUUGAAGCCAAUAUCUAGCAACUUAAUCUAGUGAAGUAUGUGGAUGCUUUUUACCAAGUAGUGUAAAAAAUUAAUCAAGAUUGAUGAAGAAACAACAAAUACACAGAUUUUUUGCCAAAUGUUUCCCAGCAAUCUUUAGCUUUUUUACCUCCUGUAAAUAAUCCAUCCAAAACUUUUAUAUUUGGCAAAAAAAAUUAAUGAUCAAAAGCUAUUGUAGAAUUUGAAGCUGUGUUCAAUUAUUAGAAAGUCGCACAUUAAAUUUUGAGAUCUGGAUAUUGCUCUGUUUUGGUGGAGAAAUGGGAAGUUCAAAGGACGAAAUAGUUGUUGCUGUGAUCACAAUGGGUGGACCCACAAGAGGUAUGGUUAUUGUUUAUAUUUUUUUUUUCCUUUCAUCUUUAAUUAACUAAUUUUACUAUGUAUGAUUGCAAUGUGGUAUUGAUUAGAAUUUGAUUGCUCUUAGAGGGAAUAAUGAGUUCUUUUAUUAUAUUGAUUAUAACUAUUGAAAAUAUUUUAGUUUUAACUAAAUAUUUGGAUUUUCGGAUUGAAUAAGAUUACCCUUUUGUUGAUAUUACUUUUUCUAUAGGAAAAAUUAAGAUUUUUCUUUUUAAUUGAGAUUUUUAGGUGCAAGCACUAGAUUUAGGCCAUUGUUAUUAAAUAUUCCAAGGCCAUUUUUUUCACCAGUAGGGCAGCCCAUGGUUCAUCAACCAAUCUCUGCUUGUAAAAGGGUAUGAAAUUUCAUUGAAUUUAUAUCCAUAGCGAAAAGAUCGAAUAAUUUUGGAUCACUGGUAUCUCAUGAGUUUUAGGAAGGCAUUUUGUGACAUCAAACUUACAAAUAAAAUAUCAUUUACUCCAGGUAAUCAAAGGGGUUAUUAUGUUAAUUGAAAUUUUUUGAAGUAGCUCACAUAUUUGUACAAGUUUUGUAAAUGGUAUUUAAUGGAAUUAAUAUAUAUCACUUGGUCAUGGAAUUAAUAAUUCUUGUUAUCAGAUAAAUGUCUAUUUCUGUGUGUUAAGAAAUACUGUUGCUGGAUCUUCUCUGCAACCUAUCAGACUAACAAAUGCAAGGAUGUGUUCUAAAUAAGAGCAUCAAUCUCCCCAUUUAUACCAAUUGAUAGGUCUAUAAGUUUUGCAAUUGUAAUUUGUAAGGGCGAAAAGGGUAACUUAUGCUUACCCAAGUCAAGUUUCUUACCUUUUAUGGUGAUCUAUGUUCUCUGCACAGAAUUGAUGUUAAGGUUUCCAAAUUGAAGAAAGAACUUGAUGCGCUUAAAUCAUCAAAUAAUCAUACUGGGGAUGGUCAUGAAACAAACAUUCAAGAUAAUGCAAUUCUGAGACAGUGGUUCCUGUGGAAAGGAAUCGACAUCCAAUAGCCGCUAAUGGUUGAGGACUAGAACUAGCUUUAGUUUAUGAGGUGGUAUAUUUGUUGGCUUUUGUAUCAAACACUCGGUGGACAGUAUCUAUUAUGUCGUUGUUUAAUGUUGAAAGCGAUAUUUGCAGUUGGUUGUAAUUAAUUAAUGUAGAGAGAUGUUUCGAAAAUAGAUAAAGUUGAGUAAUUUUUAAUUCAUAAACAAGAGUUUGGAAAAAGAAGAUAACUAAUAAGUUUAGAUAAAAUCAAGUAGAAAAAUUGAUGUGUACAAAGAGAAGAACAUUGAUAAUGAUCGAUAAGUGGUGUAAAGAGAAAAAAACAUUGGUUAUAAUUGGAGAACCUACAUGGAAAUAAUGAAUAUAUCAGUUCAAUUUAACAAAACCUUGGAAUACCGACCAAAUACAUAGCCAUUGGAAUCCCUAACCUAAAGGGUCUGAUUUGCGCUAAACUUCCUCUCUCUCUAGAUUUUGGCCUACUGCUCUUUUCUCUGUUUUGUUGAUUGCUUGGUACAAUGGAUGUUCAUAAUGAUUUUUUUUGUGGAUUUUUUUUUUUUUUUUUUAAAGAUUGCGCAAUCAAUUUGAAGAUUCCUACAUCUAGACCGUUGAUUUUUAUUUCUUCCUUUUGUGUUCAUCCUUCUCAAUGGCUCUAUUCGGAUUGUACAUUUACAGGUAGUUUAUAUUUUUCUAUUUUUUUCUGCAUUUUGUUUUGGGAGCUUUCAAAUUUUCUUAUUUAUUAGCUAGAAACGUACAAAAAUAUAUAGUAAAUUGAAGGGCUUGAGAAGGUGUAAGAUGUGUGAUAUUUUUUUAUAAAGAGUCCGAGGAAUGUGAAGCUGCAUAAUUAGCACAUAUGGCGUCUUUAGACAAAAAACACAUAUCAUUUUCGAUACUUUGUCCCUCCAAACCCAAAGACCCUAUAAUGUCUUUAUAAUAUAUACUUUCUACAUGUGGAUGAGUCUUAGUUUGGUAGGGUUGUGAUAAUUUCAACCUUUCUACUUUAUAAUAUGGAACCUUAUUGGUUGGUAGACAGUGUAUUCUUACAAUGUACUGACAUGUGAAUGUGAUUGUUUUGAUCAUCAUAUUUUGAGUUGACUGUUCCUUGUGCUAGCAUGUGUAAAGUAUUGCAACGUAAAAGAAGAAUUGUCAUAGAGAUUAAGCUCUAGACUUGGUUACUUUUGCAUCAUCCUUUUUGUUUCUUGAAAAGAUGCUUGCACGUGAUUCACUAAUCCUUGAUGUUGAUUUUAUUGCAUGUAUGAACAUCUUUCAUUUUUUUUGUAUUGCAUUGAUGUUAAUUUUGAACUAGAUGAUACCGUUUACAACUCUUUUGCUAUAAUAGUCAUAUGUUAAAAUAUUCCUUCGUUGAGAUAGAUUGGUCAUGUUUUAGUUUCUCAUAAUUGCAGGUUCCAAAUAGAGCUACUAGCCAUUACCUUCUCGCCAGACUUGCAAUUUCCCUGAACAAGUAAAUUAAAUUACAUUUUGCUUCUGUCAUUUAUUCAAUGAUACAAGAAGUUCAGUGUACAAAAGUUCAUUCAUUUCUCUUUGUGCCAUAUAAUCAUUACUAGAGUCAAAAUAAAUAAAUUUUAUUCAAAUGGAAAUUAGAAUUCUGGCAAUGAACAUAAGUUAUCAAUUUUUGUCUCUUCAAAUGCUUUACUUGAGAAAGUUCUCCUUUGUCUGGAACAUAAUUUAUGGUCUUGAAUAUAUUAUUUUUUUAAUGUUGUUACCUCAAAA
Molecule: long non-coding RNA, 3698 nt
Filed under: Olea europaea subsp. europaea
Lineage: Eukaryota; Viridiplantae; Streptophyta; Magnoliopsida; Lamiales; Oleaceae
Source: RNAcentral